AGUUGGAAACGACUGCUAAUACCGCAUAACGUAUCGGGAUGGCAUCUUCCUGAUACCAAAGAUUUUAUCGCUUAGAGAUGGGCUCGCGUCUGAUUAGAUAGUUGGCGGGGUAACGGCCCACCAAGUCGACGAUCAGUAGCCGGACUGAGAGGUUGAACGGCCACAUUGGGACUGAGACACGGCCCAGACUCCUACGGGAGGCAGCAGUGGGGGAUAUUGGACAAUGGGGGCAACCCUGAUCCAGCGACGCCGCGUGAGGGAAGAAGGUUUUCGGAUUGUAAACCUCUGUUGACGGAGAAAAAAAUGAUGGUAUCCGUUUAGAAAGCCACGGCUAACUACGUGCCAGCAGCCGCGGUAAUAC
Molecule: ribosomal RNA, 361 nt
Filed under: uncultured bacterium
Lineage: Bacteria
Description: bacterial SSU rRNA
Rfam family: Bacterial small subunit ribosomal RNA
Source: RNAcentral